UUGUUUUGUUUAUGCUCAAUUAAGAGACUGUUGACAUUCUUAUAACUUGUAAUGGGUUUAAAAUGGGUGUAAAAAAUAGUAGUGUGCACAGUGUGAAAAUGAUUUGGGUCGGGCUUCUAAAAAGAACACCCUUGCAUUUCAUUAAUGAUCCUUCCGCAGGUUCACCUACGGAAA
Molecule: unclassified non-coding RNA, 174 nt
Filed under: uncultured fungus
Lineage: Eukaryota; Fungi
Description: sequence contains ITS1
Source: RNAcentral